RNAcentral lists this unclassified non-coding RNA (145 nucleotides) under uncultured fungus. RNAcentral describes it as "sequence contains ITS1". Lineage: Eukaryota; Fungi. The record is from RNAcentral.
UUAUUAUGUUAUAUGAUAUGACGUUCAUUACACUGAUGUUUGUAAAGUAGACCCGAAGGUCCAACGGUUCACAGAGGUAUGUGGAUUUGUAAUAGACCCGGAGGUCAAAUCACUAAUGAUCCUUCCGCAGGUUCACCUACGGAAA